ACAGAGGGUGCGAGCGUUGUCCGGAAUCACUGGGCGUAAGGGCGCGUAGGCGGUUUUUCAAGCGUGCGGUGAAAGCUCAGGGCUCAACCCUGAGUCGGCCGUGCGAACUGGAAGACUGGAGCACGGUAGAGGCACAUGGAAUUCCGGGUGUAGCGGUGGAAUGCGUAGAGAUCCGGAAGAACACCGGUGGCGAAGGCGGUGUGCUGGGCCGUUGCUGACGCUGAGGCGCGACAGCGUGGGGAGCAAACAGGA
This 252-nucleotide ribosomal RNA is filed under the name uncultured prokaryote. Its description in RNAcentral is "partial 16S ribosomal RNA". It matches the Rfam family "Bacterial small subunit ribosomal RNA", at positions 525 to 777 of the family's 1533-position model. The record is from RNAcentral.